UACAGAGGACCCAAGCGUUAAUCGGAAUCACUGGGCUUAAAGCGUGCGUAGGCGGAUCUGUAAGUGUCUUGUGAAAUCCCAUGGCUCAACCAUGGAACCGCUCGGCAGACUGCAGGUCUUGAGGUCGGUAGGGGUCGUCGGAACUCUAGGUGGAGCGGUGAAAUGCGUAGAUAUCUAGAGGAACGCCAAAGGUGAAGACAGACGACUGGGCCGAUUCUGACGCUGAGGCACGAAAGCGUGGGGAGCAAACGGG
This 253-nucleotide ribosomal RNA is filed under the name uncultured bacterium. RNAcentral's name for it is "partial 16S ribosomal RNA". It matches the Rfam family "Bacterial small subunit ribosomal RNA", at positions 524 to 776 of the family's 1533-position model. The record is from RNAcentral.